AAACCAACCGGGAUUGCCUUAGUAACGGCGAGUGAAGCGGCAAAAGCUCAAAUUUGAAAUCUGGUACCUUCGGUGCCCGAGUUGUAAUUUGGAGAGGGCAACUUUGGGGCCGUUCCUCGUCUAUGUUCCUUGGAACAGGACGUCAUAGAGGGUGAGAAUCCCGUGUGGCGAGGAGUGCGGUUCUUUGUAAAGUGCCUUCGAAGAGUCGAGUUGUUUGGGAAUGCAGCUCUAAGUGGGUGGUAAAUUCCAUCUAAAGCUAAAUAUUGGCGAGAGACCGAUAGCGAACAAGUACAGUGAUGGAAAGAUGAAAAGAACUUUGAAAAGAGAGUGAAAAAGUACGUGAAAUUGUUGAAAGGGAAGGGCAUUUGAUCAGACAUGGUGUUUUGUGCCCUCUGCUCCUUGUGGGUAGGGGAAUCUCGCAUUUCACUGGGCCAGCAUCAGUUUUGGUGGCAGGAUAAAUCCAUAGGAAUGUAGCUUGCCUCGGUAAGUAUUAUAGCCUGUGGGAAUACUGCCAGCUGGGACUGAGGACUGCGACGUAAGUCAAGGAUGCUGGCAUAAUGGUUAUAUGCCGC
This 572-nucleotide ribosomal RNA is filed under the name Saccharomyces cerevisiae (brewer's yeast). RNAcentral's name for it is "partial large subunit ribosomal RNA". It matches the Rfam family "Eukaryotic large subunit ribosomal RNA", at positions 62 to 648 of the family's 3401-position model. Lineage: Eukaryota; Fungi; Ascomycota; Saccharomycetes; Saccharomycetales; Saccharomycetaceae. The record is from RNAcentral.